Molecule: ribosomal RNA, 253 nt
Filed under: uncultured bacterium
Lineage: Bacteria
Description: partial 16S ribosomal RNA
Rfam family: Bacterial small subunit ribosomal RNA
Source: RNAcentral
UACGGAGGGUGCAAGCAUUAAUCGGAAUUACUGGGCGUAAAGCGUGCGCAGGCGGUUUUUUAAGCCAGAUGUGAAAUCCCCGGGCUUAACCUGGGAACUGCAUUUGGAACUGGAAGACUAGAGUAUAGCAGAGGGAGGUAGAAUUCCACGUGUAGCAGUGAAAUGCGUAGAUAUGUGGAGGAAUACCGAUGGCGAAGGCAGCCUCCUGGGUUAAUACUGACGCUCAUGCACGAAAGCGUGGGGAGCAAACAGG